GUCGCCUACGGGACGCAGCAGUGAGGAAUAUUGGUCAAUGGACGCAAGUCUGAACCAGCCAUGCCGCGUGCAGGAAGACGGCUCUAUGAGUUGUAAACUGCUUUUGUACGAGGGUAAACGCAGAUACGUGUAUCUGUCUGAAAGUAUCGUACGAAUGAGGAUCGGCUAACUCCGUGCCAGCAGCCGCGGUAAUACGGAGGAUUCAAGCGUUAUCCGGAUUUAUUGGGUUUA
Molecule: ribosomal RNA, 231 nt
Filed under: uncultured bacterium
Lineage: Bacteria
Description: partial 16S ribosomal RNA
Rfam family: Bacterial small subunit ribosomal RNA
Source: RNAcentral